UACGUAGGUGGCAAGCGUUGUCCGGAUUUACUGGGUAUAAAGGGAGCGCAGGCGGGAUAGCAAGUCAGCGGUGAAAUGCAAAGGCUUAACCUUUGAACUGCCGUUGAAACUGUUAUUCUUGAGUGAAGUAGAGGCAAGCGGAAUUCCGAGUGUAGCGGUGAAAUGCGUAGAUAUUCGGAGGAACACCAGUGGCGAAGGCGGCUUGCUGGGCUUUUACUGACGCUGAGGCUCGAAAGUGUGGGUAG
RNAcentral lists this ribosomal RNA (245 nucleotides) under uncultured Oscillospiraceae bacterium. Its description in RNAcentral is "partial 16S ribosomal RNA". It matches the Rfam family "Bacterial small subunit ribosomal RNA", at positions 524 to 768 of the family's 1533-position model. The record is from RNAcentral. Lineage: Bacteria; Bacillati; Bacillota; Clostridia; Eubacteriales; Oscillospiraceae.